This 240-nucleotide ribosomal RNA is filed under the name uncultured bacterium. RNAcentral's name for it is "partial 16S ribosomal RNA". It matches the Rfam family "Bacterial small subunit ribosomal RNA", at positions 335 to 573 of the family's 1533-position model. The record is from RNAcentral.
AACCCUACGGGGGCAGCAGUGGGGAAUUUUGGACAAUGGGCGCAAGCCUGAUCCAGCUAUUCCGCGUGUGGGAUGACGGCCCUCGGGUUGUAAACCUCUUGUGUCAGGGAGCAAAUGGCGCUACGUGUAGCGUUAUCGAGAGUACCUGAAGAAAAAGCAUCGGCUAACUCCGUGCCAGCAGCCGCGGUAAUACGGAGGAUGCGAGCGUUAUCCGGAUUUAUUGGGUUUAAAGGGUGCGUA